RNAcentral lists this long non-coding RNA (476 nucleotides) under Selaginella moellendorffii. RNAcentral's name for it is "long non-coding RNA (SMOE_LNC001250)". The record is from RNAcentral. Lineage: Eukaryota; Viridiplantae; Streptophyta; Lycopodiopsida; Selaginellales; Selaginellaceae.
UAAAAGGCCAUAGCCAACUACAUUGCAAAAUUUCCAACGAGCUUUUUGGAAAUUUGGUGGCAGGAUCCUGCUUGCGGCUCAAUCGUAAGUUCCCUCCCGGCAUGCAUCAAUUCUCCUUGUCCUCCUUUCGUGGGGAAGAUUUGCGGAGGAUCCUCUUCCCAUUCCGGAUUACAACGUUCCUCAUAAUGUUUCUUUGCGGCAACGGGGCCGAGAUUGACCAUAUCUGAACAAAGCAAACGGACACAAACACGCAUUAGUCCCAGGAGCCCCAGAUGGAAAGCAUAGAAUGAGCAUUGCUUACAUCGCAAAAGGGAACACUAGAGUGAGAAAGCAAGGGUGAGGGAACGAGUGAGGGCUGGGCUUAUAUUGCCACGAGAUGGUCAAUAUUCUAGAGCUUUCUGCACCACGUAGGCGCCCGGAGUGGAGAAAACGAGAUCGAGAAGCACAGAAGCGGAGGGAAUGAAUGCCAAGUGGGG